Tachyglossus aculeatus (Australian echidna) is the source of this 149-nucleotide small nucleolar RNA. RefSeq annotates it as small nucleolar RNA SNORA57. The record is from RefSeq and is a predicted model, not a curated record. The transcript has a single exon. Lineage: Eukaryota; Metazoa; Chordata; Mammalia; Monotremata; Tachyglossidae.
CCUCCAUUUCUUGGCGGGGUCCGGGUGAGCAGUCCCGGUCCCCAUAAUGUUCAGAGGUAGAGGGAAGGGGCUCCGGCUUCCCCGGCAUUAUGUCUUUGGUGCCGGUGGUCACCCAUCCGCCGGUUCUAUCCUCACUCGCCGGGACAAAC